This is a long non-coding RNA of Artibeus jamaicensis (Jamaican fruit-eating bat), 350 nucleotides long. RefSeq lists it as uncharacterized. The transcript is spliced from 3 exons. The record is from RefSeq and is a predicted model, not a curated record. NCBI's taxonomy places the organism in Eukaryota, Metazoa, Chordata, Mammalia, Chiroptera, Phyllostomidae.
UUAAAUGGGGAGCUAUCUGUUCAGGAAUGCUGGCGGUGUGUGGGCUAGCAGCUGUUGUUUCUCUUUUUCAUGUUCUACUAUGCAAGACUCUACCCAAACAGACUCAGAAAACAAGAUCUGAGGGUCAUCUGUGACCAGGGGCUGUGUGAGCCCCAUCAUUCUAACUCACACAAGGGCAGCAAACCGAAAACAUCAUCCAAGCCUGCAAUCAAAGACUGCACAAAGUUCGCUGAUGAGAAGGAAAAGGCUUCCUCUUCACAGAUGUGGCAAACACAAGGCCCGCAGGCUGAAUCCGGCCCUCCACCUGGUUUUAUCCGGCACCUUGUUUCUACCCAGUGGCAGCACCGAGC